This 640-nucleotide ribosomal RNA is filed under the name uncultured Rhodocyclaceae bacterium. RNAcentral's name for it is "bacterial SSU rRNA". It matches the Rfam family "Bacterial small subunit ribosomal RNA", at positions 897 to 1533 of the family's 1533-position model. Lineage: Bacteria; Pseudomonadati; Pseudomonadota; Betaproteobacteria; Rhodocyclales; Rhodocyclaceae. The record is from RNAcentral.
AAACUUAAAUGAAUUGACGGGGACCCGCACAAGCGGUGGAUGAUGUGGAUUAAUUCGAUGCAACGCGAAAAACCUUACCUACCCUUGACAUGUCCGGAAUCCCGAAGAGAUUUGGGAGUGCUCGAAAGAGAGCCGGAACACAGGUGCUGCAUGGCUGUCGUCAGCUCGUGUCGUGAGAUGUUGGGUUAAGUCCCGCAACGAGCGCAACCCUUAUCAUUAGUUGCCAUCAUUCAGUUGGGCACUCUAAUGAGACUGCCGGUGACAAACCGGAGGAAGGUGGGGAUGACGUCAAGUCCUCAUGGCCCUUAUGGGUAGGGCUUCACACGUCAUACAAUGGUCGGUACAGAGGGUUGCCAACCCGCGAGGGGGAGCUAAUCUCACAAAGCCGAUCGUAGUCCGGAUCGCAGUCUGCAACUCGACUGCGUGAAGUCGGAAUCGCUAGUAAUCGUGGAUCAGCAUGUCACGGUGAAUACGUUCCCGGGUCUUGUACACACCGCCCGUCACACCAUGGGAGUGGGUUUCACCAGAAGUAGGUAGUCUAACCGCAAGGAGGGCGCUUACCACGGUGGGGUUCAUGACUGGGGUGAAGUCGUAACAAGGUAGCCGUAGGGGAACCUGCGGCUGGAUCACCUCCUUUAUG